Molecule: long non-coding RNA, 296 nt
Filed under: Trifolium pratense (red clover)
Lineage: Eukaryota; Viridiplantae; Streptophyta; Magnoliopsida; Fabales; Fabaceae
Description: long non-coding RNA (TPRA_LNC010567)
Source: RNAcentral
GAUUCCAUCACUUGAAUCCAUAAAUUCUAACUUAAGUAAUCUCAACAUAAAUAAAAUUCAUAAUACAACUCCAAAAUAAAUAAGAUAAGAUAAGGCAUAAAGCCACAAAUAGUUUGAUCAAUGCAAAGAUAACGUCACUAACUAUCCGGUGUUAAGCUAUUAGAGCACUAACUAGGACAUAAGGUUACAACUACAUAAUAUAAGAUAAAUGGAGUGGCCAUAAGCCCUUCUCCUCACCAAAGCAAAGCAGAUAACCAACUGCAGCUAAUCCUCAGACGUAGGAAGCUCAACCUGAG